RNAcentral lists this ribosomal RNA (1174 nucleotides) under uncultured bacterium. Its description in RNAcentral is "bacterial SSU rRNA". It matches the Rfam family "Bacterial small subunit ribosomal RNA", at positions 336 to 1501 of the family's 1533-position model. The record is from RNAcentral.
CUCCUACGGGAGGCAGCAGUGGGGAAUUUUGGACAAUGGGGGCAACCCUGAUCCAGCCAUUCCGCGUGAGUGAAGAAGGCCUUCGGGUUGUAAAGCUCUUUCGGCAGGAACGAAACGACGGGCUCUAACAUAGCCUGUCAAUGACGGUACCUGAAGAAGAAGCACCGGCUAACUACGUGCCAGCAGCCGCGGUAAUACGUAGGGUGCGAGCGUUAAUCGGAAUUACUGGGCGUAAAGCGUGCGCAGGCGGCUUUGUAAGACAGGUGUGAAAUCCCCGGGCUUAACCUGGGAACUGCGCUUGUGACUGCAAGGCUCGAGUGCGGCAGAGGGGGGUGGAAUUCCACGUGUAGCAGUGAAAUGCGUAGAGAUGUGGAGGAACACCGAUGGCGAAGGCAGCCCCCUGGGUCGACACUGACGCUCAUGCACGAAAGCGUGGGUAGCAAACAGGAUUAGAUACCCUGGUAGUCCACGCCCUAAACGAUGCCAACUAGGUGUUGGGGAAGGAGACUUCCUUAGUACCGUAGCUAACGCGUGAAGUUGGCCGCCUGGGGAGUACGGUCGCAAGAUUAAAACUCAAAGGAAUUGACGGGGACCCGCACAAGCGGUGGAUGAUGUGGAUUAAUUCGAUGCAACGCGAAAAACCUUACCUACCCUUGACAUGCCAGGAAUCCUGCUGAGAGGCGGGAGUGCUCGAAAGAGAGCCUGGACACAGGUGCUGCAUGGCUGUCGUCAGCUCGUGUCGUGAGAUGUUGGGUUAAGUCCCGCAACGAGCGCAACCCUUGUCAAUAGUUGCCAUCAUUCAGUUGGGCACUCUAUUGAGACUGCCGGUGACAAACCGGAGGAAGGUGGGGAUGACGUCAAGUCCUCAUGGCCCUUAUGGGUAGGGCUUCACACGUCAUACAAUGGUCGGUACAGAGGGUUGCCAAGCCGCGAGGUGGAGCCAAUCCCAGAAAGCCGAUCGUAGUCCGGAUCGGAGUCUGCAACUCGACUCCGUGAAGUCGGAAUCGCUAGUAAUCGUGGAUCAGCAUGCCACGGUGAAUACGUUCCCGGGUCUUGUACACACCGCCCGUCACACCAUGGGAGUGGGUUUCACCAGAAGUAGGUAGCCUAACCGCAAGGAGGGCGCUUACCACGGUGGGAUUCAUGACUGGGGUGAAGUCGUAACAAGGUAACC